Molecule: ribosomal RNA, 406 nt
Filed under: uncultured bacterium
Lineage: Bacteria
Description: partial 16S ribosomal RNA
Rfam family: Bacterial small subunit ribosomal RNA
Source: RNAcentral
AUUGAACGCUGGCGGCAGGCCUAACACAUGCAAGUCGAACGAGUGGCGGACGGGAGAGUAAUGUCUGGGAAACUGCCUGAUGGAGGGGGAUAACUACUGGAAACGGUAGCUAAUACCGCAUAACAUAAGAUGUGCCCAGAUGGGAUUAGCUAGUAGGUGGGGUAAUGGCUCACCUAGGAGACGAUCCCUAGCGGGUCUGAGAGGAUGACGAGCCACACGGGAACUGAGACACGGUCCAGACUCCUACGGGAGGCAGCAGUGGGGAAUAUUGCACAAUGGGCGCAAGCCUGAUGCAGACAUGCCGCGUGUGUGAAGAAGGCCUUCGGGUUGUAAAGCACUUUCUGCGGGGAGGCGUUACCCGCAGAAGAAGCACCGGCUAACUCCGUGCCAGCAGCCGCGGUAAUAC